Molecule: transfer RNA, 73 nt
Filed under: Bacteroidales bacterium
Lineage: Bacteria; Pseudomonadati; Bacteroidota; Bacteroidia; Bacteroidales
Description: tRNA-Phe
Rfam family: tRNA
About the family: Transfer RNA (tRNA) molecules are approximately 80 nucleotides in length. Their secondary structure includes four short double-helical elements and three loops (D, anti-codon, and T loops).
Source: RNAcentral
GGCGCGGUAGCUCAGUUGGUAGAGCAAAGGACUGAAAAUCCUUGUGUCGUUGGUUCGAUUCCAACUUGCGCCA